UCCGGUUAGCUCAGUUGGUAGUGCGCUCCCCUGGAAACGGAGAGGUCCCUGGUUGGAUACCAGGACAAGGCGGAA
Molecule: transfer RNA, 75 nt
Filed under: Ixodes scapularis (black-legged tick)
Lineage: Eukaryota; Metazoa; Arthropoda; Arachnida; Ixodida; Ixodidae
Description: tRNA-Ser
Rfam family: tRNA (bases 5-66)
About the family: Transfer RNA (tRNA) molecules are approximately 80 nucleotides in length. Their secondary structure includes four short double-helical elements and three loops (D, anti-codon, and T loops).
Source: RNAcentral